Molecule: ribosomal RNA, 440 nt
Filed under: uncultured bacterium
Lineage: Bacteria
Description: bacterial SSU rRNA
Rfam family: Bacterial small subunit ribosomal RNA
Source: RNAcentral
AACGCGAAGAACCUUACCUGGGCUCGAAAUGUUGUGGACCGUGGUGGAAACAUCACUUCCCCGCAAGGGGCUGCAAUAUAGGUGCUGCAUGGCUGUCGUCAGCUCGUGUCGUGAGAUGUUGGGUUAAGUCCCGCAACGAGCGCAACCCUUACCCCCAGUUGCCAUCAUUAAGUUGGGCACUCUGGUGGAACCGCCUCGGAUAACGGGGAGGAAGGUGGGGAUGACGUCAAGUCCUCAUGGCCUUUAUGUCCAGGGCUACACACGUGCUACAAUGGCCGGUACAAACCGUCGCAAACCCGCGAGGGGGAGCUAAUCGGAAAAAGCCGGCCUCAGUUCGGAUCGCAGUCUGCAACUCGACUGCGUGAAGCUGGAAUCGCUAGUAAUCGCGGAUCAGAAUGCCGCGGUGAAUACGUUCCCGGGCCUUGUACACACCGCGCAUA